UGCUUGAUAUUCAGAACAUGAUUUACUUCCUGUAGCCAACUUAAACUUUAAUCCUUACCCAAAAAAGGAUGAUUUGGUUGUUGAAUUGCUUUGAGUGUAUAAUGCAAAUGGUUAAAAACCAUUUUAGGCCAAUGGACAUCUUUGGGGGUAAUGAAGAACCAUUAAAUGUUCAUUUUAAAUAAGAAACUACUUUUGAUCUAAAAAACAUAAAAUGAAAUUCCAAAGAAGCCAAUCACUAAGACAAUCAGUUAGUCAAUGUUAAAGAGUACUAUCCGAUUAACAGGCAUUUAGUCAUACAAUGUAAAACUACCACAGCUUAGCUAAGUGUGUCCUCUUGCAAUAAUUUGGACCAACACUGUCCCAUCCUUUAUUGGCAUCAAGCACUUAAUACUUUAUGUCGUGACAUUUUACCUCGAAUUUGAUAAAGAAAAUUGCCUUAUUAGAUUAAUGUAUCCUAUGUCACAAUCUAUCAUAACCGAAGUAAGUCCUUGGAAAAUUAUUUUAUCUGAUUGAAUGGAAUAUCCAUUAUUGACUCAUUCUGUUAGAAUCGAAAGCCAAUGACUAUUCUCCAAAAACCACAUGAAUAUUUUCAGCCUCUUUCAUGAUACCACCAUACUACUAACAGAUUCACUCUUAUUGGGUUCAAUAAUUAUAGCAAAAUGUUAAAUAUGAUUUUCACCUAUGUAACUAUUCAUUAAAUUCAGACAAUUAUCGUGAAUUCUGAAGCCUGAGAUUAGCUGGCCUCAUGUUAAAUAUAUGAAGUUCACUUUAAUUUGUCUGAAUUGUCAUUGCAGUAUGUAAAAGCUCUAGCAUCCAAAACAUCAUCAAGUAGUUGAUCAUACACAUUGGAAUUUAGUGUAAAAUCCCUCUUUUUCUUUUUUUUUUUUUUUUUUCUCAUUUUCAAGUUUUUAAAACAAAAGCUACUCUUUGAUCUCAAAAACAUAAAAUGAAAUUCGAAAGAAGAAGCAAAUCACUAAGACAAUCGUAAAGCCAGUAUUCAGGAAGGUCAGCAAAUGAAACAGAUGUUUGCUAUCUAUGAGGCUUCAAGGCAAGUAAUAAACUAUGAGAAAUCUGCUGUUUUCUUUAGUGCAAACACGUGCAGGAAUCUGAUAAAGGAAAUACGUUCUUAGUUGGGGAAUAUGAAGGAAGCUACAAGCGGGAAGUACCUGGGACUACCUAAGUACCUAUGCUGAUAGGGAGAUCCAAGCAACAAGUUUUUGGAUACAUCAAAGCAAAGGUACAAGACAAGCUGCAAGGAUGGAAGAGGCAUUUGCUGAGCCCAGCAAGAAAAGCGGUAAAAUGGUAGCAAAGUUCUGGUGGGGCAAUGGAGAAAGCAAAAGGAGGAUGCACUGGACUAGCUGGGAAAAGAUGUCUCAUGUGAAAGGAAGAGGGGGACUGGGAGUUAGAGAUAUAGAGAAAUUCAAUGAUGCCUUCUUAGCCAAGCAGCUUUGGAGGAUGCUCACACAACCAAACCUACUUGUAAGUAGGGUGAUGAGGUCAAAGUAUCUAGGAAGAGCACAAGAUUGGGAUAAAGACCCUCCAAAAGCAUCUUCUUGGAUAUGGAAGAGUCUAAUGGGAACUAGGAAGCUGUUGAACAAAUGACUAUGGAAAAAAGUGGGAGAUCGAGAAACCAUUGACAUCUGGCAUGACAAGUGGAUUCCAGGUAGUGCAGAUGGUAAGAUCAAAACUAGAAGGAAUCCAGAAUGCACAAUCAGGACAACAGCAGAGCUGAUGAGAGAAAGAGAAUGGAACCAGGAGAUACUCAAAAGAUGGUUCAUAGCAGAAGAUAUCCAGAAAAUCAUGGCUAUCCCUAUAAGUAUAACAGGCUGCAAAGACAGAAUGUAUUGGAGAUGCACAAAGUCUGGGCUCUUUACUGUAAAGUCAGCCUAUGCUGUAGCAAUGGAAGAACAUCUACAACAGCAGAUGACAAGGAGGGAAGAGAAUAAAGAAAGCACUAGAAAUGCUCAAAAGAUAUCGAACAUCUGGAAAGGAGUGUGAUCCCAGCAGAUGAAACACAACUCAAACAUUUCAUCUAGAGAUGCCUGCACCAUAGUAUACCAGUGAAUGAGCAGAUAAACAAGAGGAUAGGAAGAAGAAGUCCGAUGUGUGAAUGUUGUGGGGAAGUAGUGGAAACAGUCAAACACAUGCUGUUUUUCUGCAAAAAUGCUGAAACCACUUCGAAAUUAGCACCUCUGCAAUGGGACGGGUUGAAUGACAUGAGAAGCAACUUUGUAAGAUGGUGGAAAGGGAUAUUUAGGAGCUAGGAUGAGAGACAAAAGGACAGGAUCACGUAACACUGUAAAUAUUUUGUGGCAAAUCUGGAAAGCAAGGAACAGGAAAGUUUUUGCUGAAGAAAAAGCAGAUCCAGGGAAAACAGUGCAAAAGCUCAAGUAGAGUGGAAUGAGUAUAUAGAAGCUCAGAACAGCACAGGGCCAGAGUUCAUUGAACAAACAACCAACUCAAGCAGACUGGAAAACUGGAAACCACCAAUAGGAGAGAUGAUAAAGAUCAACUCUGAUGCUGCCUUCUCAAAGAAUAUGAACAAAAGUGGAAUAGGAGCCAUUGCUAGAAAUGGAGAAGGACAGCUGAUGAAAGCUUGGGCCAGAGCUGAGAUAAAAACAAGUGAGCCACCGGUGGAGGAAGUGGCAGCAAUUAGAAUGGGAAUGGUGGUGGCUCGAGAAGCUCAAUGGAAGGAACUGGAAUUCCAGUCUGAUUGAAAGGAGGUGCUGGACCUGAUCAACAAGGAAAAUGGGAAGGAAUCUAGAGUUGAUAUCAUUCUAGAGGGCAACGCCAACAUGAGAUGCUUGUUUGACAAAUGUACUUUCUCUGUUGUCCAUAUAGUAGGGAACAAGUGUGCAUAUGCUAGCAAAGUUUGCUGUCAAGUUAGUUAGGAAUAUUGAAUGGGAAGGAAAUUGUGAUGUAGCUCCAUGAGAGUGCACAAAAUGAUUACAAAGGAAGUAAUUGUGAUGUAUCAAAUCUUGUGAUAUCAAGUUAAUGAAAACCAAUAUGAUUUUGACAAAAAAAAAAAAAAA
Coffea arabica (coffee) is the source of this 3032-nucleotide non-coding RNA. Lineage: Eukaryota; Viridiplantae; Streptophyta; Magnoliopsida; Gentianales; Rubiaceae. The record is from RefSeq and is a predicted model, not a curated record.